RNAcentral lists this ribosomal RNA (501 nucleotides) under uncultured bacterium. RNAcentral describes it as "partial 16S ribosomal RNA". It matches the Rfam family "Bacterial small subunit ribosomal RNA", at positions 30 to 523 of the family's 1533-position model. The record is from RNAcentral.
AUUGAACGCUGGCGGCAGGCUUAACGCAUGCAAGUCGAGCGGAGCGAGGGUGCUUGCACCUUAGCUUAGCGGCGGACGGGUGAGUAAUGCUUAGGAAUCUGCCUAUUAGUGGGGGACAACAUUCCGAAAGGAAUGCUAAUACCGCAUACGACCUACGGGGGAAAGCAGGGGAUCUUCAGACCUUGCGCUAAGAGAUGAGCCUAAGUCGGAUUAGCUAGUCGGUGGGGUAAAGGGCUACCAAGGCGACGAUCUGUAGCGGGUCUGAGAGGAUGAGCCGCCACACUGGGACUGAGACACGGCCCAGACUCCUACGGGAGGCAGCAGUGGGGAAUAUUGGACAAUGGGCGGAAGCCUGAUCCAGCCAUGCCGCGUGUGUGAAGAAGGCCUUUUGGUUGUAAAGCACUUUAAGCGAGGAGGAGGCUACUUAGAUUAAUACUCUGGGAUAGUGGACGUUACUCGCAGAAUAAGCACCGGCUAACUCUGUGCCAGCCGCCGCGGUAA